CUUUUUAAACUGCGAUGCCAUUUACUUGAAUUAUAACUGGAUGAAAUCAAAAUUGAAAAACAGUUUGGCACUUGCAAAAAAUCACAGCAGAGAUAUUUAUGAUAUUUAUGUAGGACUUGAUAUUUGGGGAAGAGGUUGUCCUGGCGGUGGUGGAUUUAAUUCAUCAUAUGCUUUACAAAAAAUACGACACGAAGGACUUUCUGUUGCACUUUUUGGUCCAGGUUGGACUCACGAAUUUUUCGGAUCUAAGACAUUCCAAGAAGUAGAAGAUCUAUUUUGGGCACAGUUGUUUCCUUAUUUAUACGUUCAUGUAUCUAUCUAGGAAGAAGAAGUAUUCAAAACAUCAUUUUGCCGUGGCAGUGGUAGCAUGUAUUAUCGCUGUGGUCAGGCACUAUAUGAAAGGGAUGGAAAAAGAUUUAAACACAAACCAUUUUACAAUUUAUCCCUGCAAAAUCCACAAAUUUCAGUACCUAUACCGCACAUGAAAUUUACAUCAUCGCCUCAACUUCCAGAACCGAAAAGUGAAAACGAUCGAAGUGAGUGUUCAAAAGAACCGAUACAAUAUGUUUAUGAAACGAGGAAGAAUGUUGUUCGAGUAUUAAAAAAUGUUGUAAAUAUUGAAAAUAAAAUGCCAAUGCUAUAUGUAAAUAGCUUCGAAUUUUGCAGCGAGUUCUCUUUCAGAGGUGGUGGUUGCAUAGAAUUAACUACAAAUGAUCUUACAACUAGGUCAUA
Molecule: long non-coding RNA, 732 nt
Organism: Bombus pascuorum
Lineage: Eukaryota; Metazoa; Arthropoda; Insecta; Hymenoptera; Apidae
Exons: 3
Source: RefSeq, a predicted model, not a curated record